Gallus gallus (chicken) is the source of this 110-nucleotide microRNA precursor. Lineage: Eukaryota; Metazoa; Chordata; Aves; Galliformes; Phasianidae. The record is from Ensembl.
GCCUAAGCCAAGGCCUCACAACACAGAGAGGGACAGAGUAGUGCUGUAAGUGCAUACAUGCUGCUCUUUUCUGUGUUUUGUGAGCUUGUCUAACUUCUAACGCAAUUUCU